Cygnus olor (mute swan) is the source of this 7475-nucleotide RNA transcript. It is a transcript of the gene named hyperpolarization activated cyclic nucleotide gated potassium channel 4, with no coding region annotated. NCBI's taxonomy places the organism in Eukaryota, Metazoa, Chordata, Aves, Anseriformes, Anatidae. The transcript has 13 exons. The record is from RefSeq and is a predicted model, not a curated record.
AGCUGCAACUCCAGAAGGAGACAAGGAUCGCCAGCAUCUAAGAGAAAAAGGAAUCUUCUUUGCUCCUAUUAUUUUUAUGAUGCUGCUAUUUUUAAAUUUACAGCUGCCCGGUAGGUUUUGCUGCUAAACCAAGGAAGGCAUUAAGCCGGGCGCUCCCUCAGCUACAGCCAAGCCGCGGCUGACUCCUGGUGAGCAGCAGGAGCCCCGCAGUGCCCAGGCGCCGUGGAUGUUGCAGCCCAGCAGCAGCAGCAGCGUUGCGGCGUGCCUCUUGCCACACACACCCUUGGCAGCCAGACGUUGCCCUUUUAAGAAGCCCGGGUGCUGGCUCAGGUAGGCAGAGCCUGUGUGCAGUAGUCGCUCCUAUGGCAACCCAAUAGAAUGGGAUCGCUUCAUGAAUAUUCCCAGGAGCCGGGGCUGCAUGAGGAAUAAGUGAUGACGGUGAUGUAAGCAAGCAGUGGCUGCUGCAGGUUGCAGUUCAUUGUGUUAUUGGCCGGCAGGUUGAGGAGUUUGAGGCACCCAGGCUUGCGCUUCGCUUUUCGGAUGAUGUCUGCCUGCCGGGAGACACUGCACAUUUGCAUCUCGAAGCCAACAUGGCAAGGCGGCUGCUGCUGCUGCCGCCCUCCCUCGCCUUCCAGCCAGAAGUGUGUGGCUCUCCUCUAGACUUCUUGCCCAGUGCUCUGGAUCUGAGCAGACAGGGAUUGCAGUAACACUCACCAAGGGGAGGCAAGCAGCAAGUAGGCAAAUCGGGACAAGGGAGGAGAGGGGGGGGCUUUUUUGCCUUCCCUCUUUUUUUUUCCUUCCGUUCUGGAUGCAGAGCCCGUGCGUUGAUGCGGAGCCUGUGGAUGCCACAGUCUGGUAAGGGGAUGACACGCCAGCCUCUGGUCCCUCCUGCCUCUUGAGCUGGGGGCAGGGGCCUGGGGGCAGCGACGGUUCCCCUCCUUCGGCACAGCCGGGGGGGUCUCUCCCCCUCACUGAGCAGCAGCAGCAGCAGCGGCCAUGGACAAGCUGCCCCCCUCCAUGCGCAAGAGGCUCUACAGCCUGCCCCAGCAGAUAGGACCCAAGGCGUCGAUCAUGGAUGAGGAGGAAGACAGCGACAAGGACACCCGGAGGAAAAGCAUCAGGCUCAAGCCACUGCCUUCGCCCUCUGCUGGGAGCACCCGGGCACUCGGGGGAGACCCCAGCAGAGGGGGAGACCCUGGCCUCCUGGAGACAGAGGCAGGCAGCAAGGGCGCCAAGACCAGCACCAAUGGGGACUGCCGCCGCUUCAAAGGGAGCCUGUCCUCGCUGACCAGCAGGCACCUCCACGACGCGGCUGAGGAGAAGAGGCUGAUCGGCGGCGAAGGGGAGCCAGCCUCCCCCGGAGAGGACAAGAGCCCCCCUGGCAGUGGGGAGACGGAGCAGGGACUGCCAGCACCCCCGCCACCGGCAUCCCCCCCGGAGUCCCAGCAGCAGCCCCCCCGAGCUUGCUCCUCUACCUCCAUCAAAGUGGAAGGAGGUGGAGGGUGCGACCAGAUCACCCCAGAUGAGGAGCAGAGGCUGGGCCAAGCUGGUUUCAUGCAGAGGCAGUUCGGGGCCAUGCUCCAGCCGGGGGUCAACAAAUUCUCCUUGAGGAUGUUUGGCAGCCAGAAGGCCGUGGAGCGGGAGCAGGAAAGGGUUAAGUCUGCCGGGUUCUGGAUCAUCCAUCCCUACAGUGACUUCAGGUUUUAUUGGGAUUUGACCAUGCUGCUGCUGAUGGUAGGGAACCUGAUCAUCAUCCCUGUGGGCAUCACUUUCUUCAAGGAUGAAAACACUACCCCAUGGAUUGUCUUCAAUGUGGUUUCGGACACGUUCUUCCUCAUCGACCUUGUCCUCAACUUCCGAACAGGCAUCGUGGUGGAGGACAACACGGAGAUCAUCCUAGACCCACAGCGUAUCAAGAUGAAGUACCUGAAGAGCUGGUUUGUGGUGGAUUUUAUCUCCUCCAUCCCCGUUGACUACAUCUUCCUGAUCGUUGAAACCCGCAUUGACUCUGAGGUGUACAAGACAGCCCGGGCGCUGCGCAUUGUGCGCUUCACUAAGAUCCUCAGCCUCCUGCGGCUCCUGCGGCUCUCCCGGCUCAUCCGCUACAUUCAUCAGUGGGAGGAGAUCUUCCACAUGACCUAUGAUCUGGCUAGCGCAGUGGUGCGCAUUGUGAACCUGAUCGGGAUGAUGCUGCUGCUGUGUCACUGGGAUGGCUGCCUCCAGUUCCUUGUGCCCAUGCUGCAGGACUUCCCAGAUGACUGCUGGGUAUCCCUCAACCGCAUGGUGAAUGACUCCUGGGGGAAGCAGUAUUCCUAUGCGCUGUUCAAGGCAAUGAGUCACAUGCUCUGCAUUGGGUACGGGCAGCAGGCGCCCGUUGGCAUGUCAGAUGUGUGGCUCACUAUGCUGAGCAUGAUUGUCGGUGCCACCUGCUAUGCCAUGUUCAUCGGCCAUGCCACAGCCCUAAUCCAGUCUCUGGACUCCUCACGGCGUCAGUACCAGGAGAAGUACAAACAAGUGGAGCAGUAUAUGUCCUUCCACAAGCUCCCUGCGGACAUGCGGCAGCGCAUCCAUGACUACUACGAGCACCGCUACCAGGGGAAGAUGUUCGAUGAGGAGAGCAUCCUGGGAGAGCUGAGUGAGCCUCUCCGAGAGGAAAUCAUCAACUUCAACUGCCGGAAGCUGGUUGCCUCGAUGCCCCUCUUUGCCAACGCAGAUCCCAACUUUGUGACAUCCAUGUUGACCAAGCUGCGGUUCGAGGUGUUCCAGCCUGGGGAUUACAUCAUCCGCGAGGGCACCAUUGGCAAGAAGAUGUACUUCAUCCAGCACGGAGUGGUGAGCGUCCUCACCAAAGGCAACAAGGAGACCAAGCUGGCAGAUGGCUCCUACUUUGGAGAAAUUUGCCUGCUGACUCGUGGCCGGCGCACAGCCAGUGUGCGAGCUGAUACCUACUGCCGGCUCUACUCCCUCUCGGUGGACAACUUCAACGAGGUGCUGGAAGAGUAUCCCAUGAUGCGGCGAGCUUUUGAAACGGUGGCUCUUGACAGGCUGGACAGAAUUGGUAAGAAAAAUUCCAUUCUGCUGCAUAAAGUCCAGCAUGACCUCAAUUCAGGUGUUUUCAACUACCAAGAGAAUGAGAUCAUCCAGCAGAUUGUGCAGCACGAUAGAGAGAUGGCACACUGUGCUCACAACGUCCAGGCUGCUGCUGCCGCCGCUGCCGCUGCUGCAUCCACACCCACGCCCGUCAUCUGGACUCCACUGAUCCAGGCACCCCUGCAGGCUGCAGCAGCCACCACUUCUGUUGCGAUAGCUCUGACCCACCACCCGCGCCUCCCCACAGCCAUCUUCCGUCCCCCGGUGUCCGUCCUGGGUUCCCUGGGGCAGCAGUCCAGCCAGACCCCAAGGCAGCUGAAAAGGCUUCAGUCUCUAAUCCCAUCGGCUGGGCCUUCCGCUGUUGGCUCCCCCUCCAGCACUCCGUCCCAGCUGCACACACCGGGAGCAGAAACCCCGUCGUCCUCUUCCUACCACAUCCAGCAGCUCGCAGGAUACUCGGCUGCCGCCGGCUUAGGCCAGUUCCAGGUGGGAUCCCCUCCCGGUGGCUCGAGCCAGACAGGUUUGAGUGGCGCAUCCUCCGUGGGACUGAGCCAGCUCCAACAAGCACCAUCUGGAUCACCUUUAGGGACAGCUCAGCCCACCCAGCAGCAGCAGCAACAACAGCAGCAGCAGCAGCAGCAGCCACCCCUUUCCAGCAGUGGAUUCGGGCACUUCCAGCAAGCCACAACUAGCUCUCCAUCAGCAUCACUCACCCAGCUCGCAUCAAAUUCACCCCCUGGCCUUCUCAACCAGUUCCAGCCCACCACGAGACCACUGCAGGCGGGACAGUUACAGCAGCUCUCAGGCAGUGGGACUUUGGGGGCAAUUAAUCACUUCCAGCCCCCUCCUUCUUCCAACUCGCCAUCCGCCAGCCUAAGCCAGCUGGCACAGGCCUCUGGUGGGCCGUCCUCAGGCCUGUGCCAAACACAUCCAAGUGCAUUAGGAUCUGUAACUGGAACGAUAGCCCAGCUCCACCAGGAACGAUCGCCUUUUGCCUCCAUGUCUCCUCUCCAACAGUCCGGCGUCGCCUCUCCCUGUUAUACCCCUUCUGGCCUUAGUCCUCCUACUCAGAGCCCAGUGGCAACAAGAACGUUCCAGUGUGGCCCUUCUGGGGCCUCAGGCUCUCACGGCUCUCUGCUCCUGCCUCAGACCGCCAGCCCACCUCCGCAGAUCCUGCAGUCCAAAAGCACGCCGCCUGUGCCACCCGGACGCCUGAACCAGGACAUCAAGUUGAUUUCUGCUUCCCAGCCAUCUUUGCCCCAAGAGCUGGCUCAGACACUGAGCCAAAGUUCUCAUUCCUCUAGAGAAUCUGUUUCCAGCUUCUCUCCUUUUCCUGGUGGAGGGACUGGACUUCUCGGGAAGCCUUGUAGCUCAAUUCCUGGGCGCGUGACUUUACCACGUCAGAUGUCCUCAGGUUCUUUACCACAUCCGCUGGUGUUUGGGGCCAGCACUGCGGGCACUGCUUCCCUGACUGCUGGUGGGCGGAAAGAAUCCAUAGUGCUCACGGGGGAUCUGGAGCCUGUCAGAUCCAAACUGCCCUCCAAUUUGUGAGGACUCCUUCUGAGAGCUGGUUAUGUCAGCCGUGCAAUUCAGUUCCCGAUUAGACUUUCAUGAAUCAUUUUUUUUUCUUUUUUUUUUUUUUUUAAUUUUCCCUCUUUUUCCUCCAUUUCUUUUGUUUAGGUUUAACUGUGGUUAGAAACAAACGACAAAAAAAAACACGAAAAACAACAAAAAAAAGAAGAUAACCAGGUAUUCUUAGAGCUAUAGAUUUUUGGUCACUUGAUUUUAUAGAAUAUUUUAAUACAUGGAACAAAGGAUAUGAGCAAAUUUAAUCCAACGAGGUAACACACAGAUGAGGCGUGUGCCUGAGCUGGAACAUGUGAAUGAUCAGCCAUAGAAGCCACCAAAAGAGGUUUUCCUGUUGAGGCAAAGAUCUGAGGUUGACGUGGGCCAUAGAAGGGAGCAUCAGGUCAGGCCCGUAGCUGGUGUUUUUGGAACAGCUCUGCUUAGCACCGCUUUGCACCAGACUGGUGCACUUGAACCUGGCUCGCAGCACCGAGACAUGGAGGGACUGAGAUAGCUCACCGCAUACAUCGGGAAGUUUCACUGCCUCCCAGGUUUUCUCCUGUGAUCAGCAGGGCACAGAGGAAGCAAGAAGAGGGCAAGUUUCACUAACGCAGUCCCCUCUGGGGAUUUCAGAAGGGCUGAGUUGUUUUUUUGGACUCCAUCUGAAGAAGAGGAGGGUGACCAGGAGACGGACGGGCCUGACUGCAGCUGCUUGUCUCGUUCCACCAAUGCUCUGAGGGAGAAGUCCCGUUGCUGCCAGCCCCGCUGGCCACAGCAGAAGAAUCACAGAAUCACAGAAUGGCUGAGGUUGGAAGGGACCUCUGAAGAUCACCUAGUCCAACCCCCCUGCCGAGUAGGAUCACCUAGAGCACCUUGCGCAGGAUGGCAGCCUCAGCGUCCCUGCGGUGUGCAAAGCAUGCAUGCUGCCAUCCAGGCUGGGGCAUGCAGAGCAAGGGAGGGAUGAAGAAAGGCAGCACAUUAAUCUUCCCUCUCAGUCUCGGUGUCUCAGUGUCCAUGGGCUGACUGCUUUGAAGAGAACUGAGUAGGGUUCAUCUUGAAACAGAACCAGUUGAUGGAAUUGAAGCAGAGUCACAGACCCUCUCAUAAGUUCAAAGGUACGAGUUCCUAGAGGAAGACUCAUGAUAUCCUUUCAAGUAUUAUAUUUAUUUUAACAACCUUUUUUCCCCGUAUGCUAGAGGGCCCCCUAGAGCGAACAUCUCAAGAGGUUGGGAUUUAAGCUGUUUGGGUCUGGGGAAUUCGAUACAAGCGGGUGGGAAAGGUCUUCAGCCCAGCAAUGCCAAGCCCUCGUGGAUGACUGUCCUGUGACUGCUGCAUUGGUACUUGAAUCUCAACAACCCCUGUGGACACUCAGACAAAUGGAGGUGCACAGAAACACCCUGAGGGCUGUCUCUGGUAGACGUGCGUUCCUUCCACCAGGCCGGUGAACAUGCUGCGUUCGGUUGGGUUCCUUUGCUUUGAUUUUCAUGGGGGUGCUGUUUGAUUUUCCAGUUCUUAGCAGUGCAGUAGCCAAUAUUGAGUUACUCUGACUGGACCCCAGUCAACACUAGGCUUGUCUCAGUAGGUGGAACUAUAUUAAUUAUUAUUGUUAUUUUUUUGUUUUAUUUUGGGGAGAAGGGAGGGAAGAGUUCUAGGGGUGGGGUUUGCAAUAUAAAACACACAAUAAAAAACCUUAGUAAAUAAAAAAGUAAAAACCCAGCCCUCUGACUUGCUGUCUGCUUUGAGUGUUGAAAUUUAGGCACUGUGGGAGGAGGUUUCAAGAAAAAAAACAACUCGUGUGGCAUUUCAGCCCUCUCUGCCCUACUGGAGAGGUACGAUGAAAGGUUUUGUCUUGCUUCCUAUCUGUAUUUUCCUCCUGUUUUCACAACUUUGGUGGCGUGUUUACCUGCUGCCACAUCUCCACCUCACUCACGCCUGUAGGCAGUGUAUGGUAAGCCACUGACAGUAAAAUGUCUACACUUUUGCCUACACUUUAAUUUUUAGCAGUGCAAAGGAGAAACCUGCCAGUUGUUUUGCUAAAAGUGUACGAGAUUCCUUCACAGUACUGACAGAUCUGGAAUCUCUGGCUGACUUUGUGAGCCUCAGAGAAGAGCUCAGGGAGCCUUACCACAGGAUGCAAAAGUUAACAACUUGGAAUCGGGACUAUCACAGAAAGAGGAUGAAAAUCUGGACAAGAAGUCACCAUUUCCAAGUCAUAACUUAAGCUGGGUGAUGAUGCCAGAGUCAGGACCUGAUGUAUUUUUGGAAGGAGCUCGCAGCACGGUGCUGGCGAGCGCAGGAGGCCACAGGGUGCCUACAGCGUGCUCUAGUGCGUGCCCUGGGGAAGGAGAAGGGAGUUGCACCUUUAUCCUUGCUGGGGGAGACACCAAGGCGAGGGCAGUGUGAGAGCUUCACGGCUGCUGAGCCGGAGACAGCACCCGAGGAGGCAGGCAGCACCUUUCCCCUUGCAGGCCUGAAGCCCAGGACAGAGGACCUCACCCCACCCUGACAGAGUGAUGGAAGUCCAGGAGCUGGAUGUGCUGACAGCCUAAACUGAAAGGGAUGCCGCAAAACCACCAGGCACGGUCCAGUGGGUGCUUUCCCCUUGUAUGGAGCGUGCUAGGACAAGUCAUCGCUGCCAUCUAGUGUCCCUGCCGUGCACUGCCCAGCGUGCAGAAGGGUACAAGUCACAGCAUGUGUUACUUCCACCUGCCUUACAACAGACUACGUGGCCCUCAUAAAACUGCCACCUUUCAUCUGGCUUGCCCUGCAAUGCGAGUACCAGAGCAAAUUAGCUGCGCUGGCCAAGUAAGAAAUGGUCU